GACGAACGCUGGCGGCGUGCUUAACACAUGCAAGUCGAACGGAAAGGCCCUGCUUUUGUGGGGUGCUCGAGUGGCGAACGGGUGAGUAACACGUGAGUAACCUGCCCUUGACUUUGGGAUAACUUCAGGAAACUGGGGCUAAUACCGGAUAGGAGCUCCUGCUGCAUGGUGUGGGUUGGAAAGUUUCGGCGGUUGGGGAUGGACUCGCGGCUUAUCAGCUUGUUGGUGGGGUAGUGGCUUACCAAGGCUUUGACGGGUAGCCGGCCUGAGAGGGUGACCGGCCACAUUGGGACUGAGAUACGGCCAAGACUCCUACGGGAGGCAGCGGUGGGGAAUAUUGCACAAUGGGCGGAAGCCUGAUGCAGCAACGCCGCGUGCGGGAUGACGGCCUUCGGGUUGUAAGCCGCUUUCGCCUGUGACGAAGCGUGAGUGACGGUAAUGGGUAAAGAAGCACCGGCUAACUACGUG
This 468-nucleotide ribosomal RNA is filed under the name uncultured bacterium. Its description in RNAcentral is "partial 16S ribosomal RNA". It matches the Rfam family "Bacterial small subunit ribosomal RNA", at positions 28 to 507 of the family's 1533-position model. The record is from RNAcentral.